CGGGACACGUGGUAUCCUGUCUGAAUAUGGGGGGACCAUCCUCCAAGGCUAAAUACUCCUGACUGACCGAUAGUGAACCAGUACCGUGAGGGAAAGGCGAAAAGAACCCCGGCGAGGGGAGUGAAAAAGAACCUGAAACCGUGUACGUACAAGCAGUGGGAGCACGCUUCGGCGUGUGACUGCGUACCUUUUGUAUAAUGGGUCAGCGACUUAUAUUCUGUAGCAAGGUUAACCGAAUAGGGGAGCCGAAGGGAAACCGAGUCUUAACUGGGCGUUAAGUUGCAGGGUAUAGACCCGAAACCCGGUGAUCUAGCCAUGGGCAGGUUGAAGGUUGGGUAACACUAACUGGAGGACCGAACCGACUAAUGUUGAAAAAUUAGCGGAUGACUUGUGGCUGGGGGUGAAAGGCCAAUCAAACCGGGAGAUAGCUGGUUCUCCCCGAAAGCUAUUUAGGUAGCGCCUCGUGAAUUCAUCUCCGGGGGUAGAGCACUGUUUCGGCAAGGGGGUCAUCCCGACUUACCAACCCGAUGCAAACUGCGAAUACCGGAGAAUGUUAUCACGGGAGACACACGGCGGGUGCUAACGUCCGUCGUGAAGAGGGAAACAACCCAGACCGCCAGCUAAGGUCCCAAAGUCAUGGUUAAGUGGGAAACGAUGUGGGAAGGCCCAGACAGCCAGGAUGUUGGCUUAGAAGCAGCCAUCAUUUAAAGAAAGCGUAAUAGCUCACUGGUCGAGUCGGCCUGCGCGGAAGAUGUAACGGGGCUAAACCAUGCACCGAAGCUGCGGCAGCGACACUAUGUGUUGUUGGGUAGGGGAGCGUUCUGUAAGCCUGUGAAGGUGUACUGUGAGGUAUGCUGGAGGUAUCAGAAGUGCGAAUGCUGACAUAAGUAACGAUAAAGCGGGUGAAAAGCCCGCUCGCCGGAAGACCAAGGGUUCCUGUCCAACGUUAAUCGGGGCAGGGUGAGUCGACCCCUAAGGCGAGGCCGAAAGGCGUAGUCGAUGGGAAACAGGUUAAUAUUCCUGUACUUGGUGUUACUGCGAAGGGGGGACGGAGAAGGCUAUGUUGGCCGGGCGACGGUUGUCCCGGUUUAAGCGUGUAGGCUGGUUUUCCAGGCAAAUCCGGAAAAUCAAGGCUGAGGCGUGAUGACGAGGCACUACGGUGCUGAAGCAACAAAUGCCCUGCUUCCAGGAAAAGCCUCUAAGCAUCAGGUAACAUCAAAUCGUACCCCAAACCGACACAGGUGGUCAGGUAGAGAAUACCAAGGCGCUUGAGAGAACUCGGGUGAAGGAACUAGGCAAAAUGGUGCCGUAACUUCGGGAGAAGGCACGCUGAUAUGUAGGUGAAGUCCCUCGCGGAUGGAGCUGAAAUCAGUCGAAGAUACCAGCUGGCUGCAACUGUUUAUUAAAAACACAGCACUGUGCAAACACGAAAGUGGACGUAUACGGUGUGACGCCUGCCCGGUGC
This 1465-nucleotide ribosomal RNA is filed under the name Escherichia coli. RNAcentral describes it as "partial 23S ribosomal RNA". It matches the Rfam family "Bacterial large subunit ribosomal RNA", at positions 418 to 1869 of the family's 2925-position model. Lineage: Bacteria; Pseudomonadati; Pseudomonadota; Gammaproteobacteria; Enterobacterales; Enterobacteriaceae. The record is from RNAcentral.